RNAcentral lists this ribosomal RNA (253 nucleotides) under uncultured bacterium. Its description in RNAcentral is "partial 16S ribosomal RNA". It matches the Rfam family "Bacterial small subunit ribosomal RNA", at positions 524 to 776 of the family's 1533-position model. The record is from RNAcentral.
UACGUAGGGUGCAAGCGUUGCCCGGAAUUAUUGGGCGUAAAGAGCUCGUAGGCGGCUUGUCGCGUCGGCUGUGAAAACCUGGGGCUCAACCCCGGGCCUGCAGCCGAUACGGGCAAGCUAGAAUUCGGUAGGGGAGACUGGAAUUCCUGGUGUAGCGGUGAAAUGCGUAGAUAUCAGGAGGAACACCGGUGGCGAAGGCGGGUCUCUGGGCCGAUAUUGACGCUGAGGAGCGAAAGCGUGGGGAGCGAACAGG